Molecule: long non-coding RNA, 940 nt
Organism: Phoenix dactylifera (date palm)
Lineage: Eukaryota; Viridiplantae; Streptophyta; Magnoliopsida; Arecales; Arecaceae
Source: RefSeq, a predicted model, not a curated record
UUCCUUGUCCCUCAGAAAGAUUCCCUUUCCCCUUUUCCUGGUGGAGAUGUUGGUGGUCAAAGCCCUUCACAAGAUUACUAAGAAACAUCUAUAACUGGGAAUUCAAAAAAUGUAAAUAGUUGGCCAGCUAAAGGGGUCAGAAACUUUUCACACAUGCACUGCCUACUUCUUAACUAUAUCAAUUAGGGUUAUCAAAUGUUUAUCAAUUUGAUGUUCUACCUACUUCCCAAGUCUGUAAACUAGGUCACUCAUCCCAUAUGAUGAUAAACUUGUUUCCCUUCUCAUCGUUCUUUUGUAGUGUACAUCCAAAUAACAAUUUUCAUGAUAAAGGUUAAUCCAAGAUCACAUAUGAAGUAUUGGAUCAUUUACAAAGGUAGUGUUUGGACACUUGCAACUGGGUCUAAGUGAACCCAUUUGCAAGAAGUGGCUUUUUUCCGCUGUUUGGGUGGGUGUAAAGUGGUGGGGCCCAUGUAUUUGGAGCUACAAUAGGGCCUCACUUGCUGCAAGAGGUCGUACGGCUGGUGUCAUAGGACAACGAUGCAGCAAGUGGCUUCCAUGCAUUAAAGGCUUCAUUGCGCAUCAGUUGGGUUUUACUCCAUGUUACCAUCCCCUCUAGUGGGGACCCUCUCUCCCUAUUUUCUCUCACGCUGGUCCAGCAGUCUAGCUUCCUUCAACCACCAUCCCCAUCCUCAGAGCUUCAUCGACCCCCUUCUACUACUCAAGCUCUAUGAUGAUCGUCCAGUUCCACAUGUGCUUGAGAGCUAUCACUGCAAUGUCCCAUUUUGGGUUUAUAUGAUGCCUCUGUUAUUCACUUCCUCUUUCUUUCUCAUAGUCUACCUUGGUUUUGAUAGCAAAAGGUGACUUGGCUUUCAACUACCAACUUUAUACUUUGUGUUCAGUGUACUGAAAGCAAUACGAUAUCUGAACUGUUUUCCACCUU